Molecule: ribosomal RNA, 407 nt
Filed under: uncultured bacterium
Lineage: Bacteria
Description: partial 16S ribosomal RNA
Rfam family: Bacterial small subunit ribosomal RNA
Source: RNAcentral
GACGAACGCUGGCGGCGUGCCUAAUACAUGCAAGUAGGACGCAGUUGCGAACGGGUGAGUAACGCGUAGGUAACUACCUAUUAGAGGGGGAUAACUAUUGGAAACGAUAGCUAAUACCGCAUACUAGUAGAUGGACCUGCGUUGUAUUAGCUAGUAGGUAGGGUAAUGGCCUACCUAGGCAACGAUACAUAGCCGACCUGAGAGGGGGAACGGGCAAACUGGGACCGGGGAACCGCCCAGACCCCUUCGGGAGGGAGCAGGAGGGGAACUUUGGCAAAGGGGGGAACCCUGACCGAGCAACGCCGCGUGAGUGGAGAAGGGUUUUGGGUCGUAAAGCUCUGUUGUUAAGGAAGCGGUACUUAACCAGAAAGGGACGGCUAACUACGUGCCAGCCGCCGCGGUAAUAC